GUUGCCUGAGUAACCGUAUGAUGGUGGUGGUGGUGGUGUCUUCCUGUCUCAACGAUACCAAUUUUCUAGUGCUGAGAUCCUGAGACAAUGAACGCUAGCCCUAAUUAAACCAGAUGCAAUAUCAAAGGCUGGAGAAAUAAUUGAAAUAAUAAACAAAGCUGGAUUUACUAUAACCAAACUCAAAAUGAUGAUGCUUUCAAGGAAAGAAGCAUUGGAUUUUCAUGUAGAUCACCAAUCAAGACCCUUUUUCAAUGAGCUGAUCCAGUUUAUUACAACUGGUCCUAUUAUUGCCAUGGAGAUUUUAAGAGAUGAUGCUAUAUGUGAAUGGAAAAGACUGCUGGGACCUGCAAACUCUGGAGUGGCACGCACAGAUGCUUCUGAAAGCAUUAGAGCCCUCUUUGGAACAGAUGGCAUAAGAAAUGCAGCGCAUGGCCCUGAUUCUUUUGCUUCUGCGGCCAGAGAAAUGGAGUUGUUUUUUCCUUCAAGUGGAGGUUGUGGGCCGGCAAACACUGCUAAAUUUACUAAUUGUACCUGUUGCAUUGUUAAACCCCAUGCUGUCAGUGAAGGACUGUUGGGAAAGAUCCUGAUGGCUAUCCGAGAUGCAGGUUUUGAAAUCUCAGCUAUGCAGAUGUUCAAUAUGGAUCGGGUUAAUGUUGAGGAAUUCUAUGAAGUUUAUAAAGGAGUAGUGACCGAAUAUCAUAACAUGGUGACAGAAAUGUAUUCUGGCCCUUGUGUAGCAAUGGAGAUUCAACAGAAUAAUGCUACAAA
RNAcentral lists this small RNA (768 nucleotides) under Pan troglodytes (chimpanzee). RNAcentral describes it as "processed transcript". The record is from RNAcentral. Lineage: Eukaryota; Metazoa; Chordata; Mammalia; Primates; Hominidae.